UACGUAGGGUGCGAGCGUUAAUCGGAAUUACUGGGCGUAAAGCGUGCGCAGGCGGUUUUGUAAGCCAGAUGUGAAAGCCCCGGGCUUAACCUGGGAAUGGCAUUUGAUACUCGAGGGCUUGAGUACGGGAGAGGAGAGUGGAAUUCCCAGUGUAGAGGUGAAAUUCGUAGAUAUUGGGAAGAACACCGGUGGCGAAGGCGGCUCUCUGGACCGUAACUGACGCUGAGGCGCGAAAGCGUGGGGAGCAAACAGG
RNAcentral lists this ribosomal RNA (253 nucleotides) under uncultured bacterium. RNAcentral's name for it is "partial 16S ribosomal RNA". It matches the Rfam family "Bacterial small subunit ribosomal RNA", at positions 524 to 776 of the family's 1533-position model. The record is from RNAcentral.